Molecule: ribosomal RNA, 256 nt
Filed under: uncultured bacterium
Lineage: Bacteria
Description: partial 16S ribosomal RNA
Rfam family: Bacterial small subunit ribosomal RNA
Source: RNAcentral
CACGUAGGGUGCGAGCGUUGUCCGGAAUUAUUGGGCGUAAAGAGCUCGUAGGCGGUGUGUCGCGUCGGCCGUGAAAACCUGCAGCUUAACUGUGGGCUUGCGGUCGAUACGGGCAUCACUGGAGUUCGGCAGGGGAGACUGGAAUUCCUGGUGUAGCGGUGGAAUGCGCAGAUAUCAGGAGGAACACCGAUGGCGAAGGCAGAUCUCUGGGCCGUAACUGACGCUGAGGAGCGGAAAGCAUGGGGAGCGAACAGGA